This 77-nucleotide transfer RNA is filed under the name Candidatus Doudnaibacteriota bacterium. RNAcentral's name for it is "Candidatus Doudnabacteria bacterium (hot springs metagenome) tRNA-Val". It matches the Rfam family "tRNA". Rfam says of the family: Transfer RNA (tRNA) molecules are approximately 80 nucleotides in length. Their secondary structure includes four short double-helical elements and three loops (D, anti-codon, and T loops). Further hydrogen bonds mediate the characteristic L-shaped molecular structure. tRNAs have two regions of fundamental functional importance: the anti-codon, which is responsible for specific mRNA codon recognition, and the 3' end, to which the tRNAs corresponding amino acid is attached (by aminoacyl-tRNA synthetases). tRNAs cope with the degeneracy of the genetic code in two manners: having more than one tRNA (with a specific anti-codon) for a particular amino acid; and 'wobble' base-pairing, i.e. permitting non-standard base-pairing at the 3rd anti-codon position. The record is from RNAcentral. Lineage: Bacteria; Candidatus Doudnaibacteriota.
GGACCCGUAGCUCAGUUGGUUAGAGCGUUCGAUUCACAUUCGAAAGGUCAGUGGUUCGAGUCCACUCGGGUCCACCA